GAUGAAGAACGCAGUGAAAUGCGAUAAGUAAUGUGAAUUGCAGAAUUCAGUGAAUCAUCGAAUCUUUGAACGCACAUUGCGCCCCCUGGUAUUCCGGGGGGCAUGCCUGUCCGAGCGUCAUUACAACCCUCAAGCUCUGCUUGGUAUUGGGCCCCGCCAGUUCUGGCGGGCCCUAAAGUCAGUGGCGGUGCCUUCCGGCUCCGAGCGUAGUAAUUCUUCUCGCUCUGGAGACCCGGUUGUGUGCUUGCCAACAACCCCCAAUUUUUUAAGGUUGACCUCGGAUCAGGUAGGGAUACCCGCUGAACUUAAGCAUAUCAAUAAGCGGAGGA
Molecule: unclassified non-coding RNA, 329 nt
Filed under: soil metagenome
Description: partial contains 5.8S ribosomal RNA, internal transcribed spacer 2, and large subunit ribosomal RNA
Rfam family: 5.8S ribosomal RNA (bases 1-120)
Source: RNAcentral